Long non-coding RNA from Pezoporus flaviventris, 3579 nucleotides. RefSeq lists it as uncharacterized. The transcript has 3 exons. The record is from RefSeq and is a predicted model, not a curated record. Lineage: Eukaryota; Metazoa; Chordata; Aves; Psittaciformes; Psittacidae.
GUAUCUCCAAAAGUUGACUUCUUUUAUUUUUUAUAUAUCUGACAAAAGUAAAAAGAUAAUUCACUGUUUAUAAUAUAAGACCUUCAGUUGCUGGCAGGGAAUUAGAUGGCCCAUAAUUCACAGCUUAAAAGUGAAAAGGAAAGUCCUGCAUUCUUUUCAGUAAUUCAGAAAAUGCUGAGCUCAGGCUAAGUUCAAAUUUUUAUUCAUUGCAAAAAAUUAGAAGUUCAUCACAUAAGAGCUGUAUUACAAUAAUAUCAACUGUAAUCUUGAUUGAAAGGAGGGAGAAAUUUCUGGUUUUACAUUCAAGUGAAAAAAAACAGAAAUGAGGAGAAUUUGUGUGCACGUGGGACAGACAGGAGACAUUGGAAGAAAAAUGAACUAUCUUAGAAGACGAUUUUUAGUAGACAGUUAACUCUUAACUUCAAAGGGUGUUCUUUCUUCAGUCAUGCAAUUACAGCCAAAUAUUUUUGCUUGGAUCAGGUGAAAAAAUACUCUGUUUUCUUAGCUAUUGAGUUUUGAAAAUCCCCAUUGUCUUAUUACUGUGGACAAUAAUUCCACUAUGGGGCAGUGGCAGUGUGACAGAUCUUGCCCUUCUGCAGCUCUGACUGUCAGAUUACACUGAUCCAAGUUACUGUUUGCUACUAUUUUCUUUUCUGAGCAGCCACCUGUAAUUACUCAAAGUCUCAGCCUCACUUCAUUGUAAAUCAAGAAGUAUAGGCAUUUCUGAAAAUAAUCUGAAGGUCACAUCUGGAAGACGAGAAUAUAUUUUCCCAUAGAAGAUAUUGAAGGCUUUAUGAUUAUGCCAGAGCACACAGUUAGGUAUAUGGAACCAUUAAAGUUUGACAAGGCACAUGAUCUAGAUGAAUAACAUUCCCAAAUUCCAGAGGAAUCAUAAAGCAUGAGGAUAAUGCAAUCAUUUGACAGCCUUUAAAAGUGAAAAGCCUUUGGAUCUCAAGCUCUGGAUCUUAGAAUCAGCUAAGCAUGAAUGCUGAGAAAUACUGAACAGAGAAAGGUGAACAACUUGCAGGGUGAGGUGAUCAGAGGCAUGCAGCAAGGACAGAUUCAGUCUCUCCUAACCUGGAGAAGGGGAUGGGGAAGCCACAGGCACCUCCAGGCAGCAAUUCAUUAAUCUAAUAUGCCUUUUCAUUGCCCUGCAGAGGUGAGACUCUCUGCACUGAGAUGGAGGCCAAAUCAUUAGCAUGGACUAAAGCACCUCAUUUUUUGAAGGCUCAGAGUACUUUAGAGAGUUCCUGCCCAAAAGACUGACUCUGCAGGAGAGGGACAAAAAAGAAAAGCUUCAAGGAACAUUACCAGAUGAAUAAUAAGGGUGGAAGGACAAGAUGACUAGAACAGUAUCACAAGUUUGCUGGUUGGUUGCUUUUAAAUUUGUUGACAUAUUUCUAUUUUUUAAGACAUAGAACUUCCUCAUCCUAAUUAGUAAAUUGAUAUUAUUUAUUACUAAUAACAAACAAUUAUUUUUUAAACUAAGAAAUUUUAUAUGCCUGUCAUUGUAUCAGACUGUACAAUCAUGGAACACAAAGGGCAAAUUCUUUCUUUAGAUCCUUGAAGGUUCCUCAUUUCACAGGGAGCUAGGCACAGGUUUUAUCCCUUAACAGAAAAGCAUCCAUAGUACAUUAAACAAACUAUAAGAAUCCUCUGAAGGGGUUGGAUCUGAAGCAAAAUCAAGUAGGGGAAGAGUUAGGGAGCCUAUAUACCUCAAAGACAUUCUGAACUGCAGCAUAGUUUGAUCUGUUGCACAGAUUGCAGAUAAAUUGUGUGCAUUGUGUGCAAAAGACAUUGCACACAAUGCAGAUAAAGAACAUUCAUUCUUUAUUCAUAUACCACUUAGUAUACCACCAAGCUCUUCCAGGCAAUGCCAUCAAUUUUAAUUUAUUAACUGCUUUCUGAGCAAUGUGAUCUUUCCUCUGCUUCAAGGCUGUGGUAGCUGCUUUUGAUACUUUAUGUGUGAGUCAUCGUAGGGUUUUAAUUGUCAUACUAAUUGUGGCAAUUCAUGUCUCAUGUUGUCUUUUGACUGGAUUCUGCCUCCAAGUAAAUCUCAUAUAUGGAUGAAAUGAGCCCUCUUAUUGCAUUUACCUGGUUGCAGGACGUAAAAAAAUGUACUUUGCAGAAAUGCAAGUUGCUAAUAUGCAAAGACACUCGUGAUCACAGACCACUCGGUGGAUACAGAAUUGGCUGGAUGGUUGCACUAAGAGCUGUGGUUAGCAGCUCAAUAUCCAAGUGGAGAACAGUGAUGAGUGGUGUUCAUCAGGGGUCAGUACUGGGAGUGGUGCUAUUUAAUAUCUUUGUUCGUUACAUAGACAGUGGGAUUGAGUGCACCCUCAGCAAGUUUGCCAAGCUGUGUGGUGCUGUCAACACACUAAAGGGAAAGGAUGCCAUCCAGAGGAACCUUGACAUGACUGAGACGUGGGCCACUGAGAACCUCAUGAAGUUCAACAAGGUCAAGUGCAAGGUCCUGCACAUGGUUUGGGGCAAUCCUAAACACAGAUACAGGCUGGGAAGAGACUACAUGGAAAGCAGCCCUGAGGAAAGGGACUUGGGGGUGUUGGUUGACAAAACAACUCAACCAUGACCCGACAAUGUGCCCUCACAGCCCAGAAAGCCAACCAUGUCCUGGGCAUCAUCAAAAGGAGUGUGACCAGAAGAUUGAGGGAGGUGAUUCUCCUCCUCUCCUCCACUCUUGUGAAACCCCCACAGGAGCACUUCAUUCAGCUCUGGUGCCACCAACACAAGAGGGAUGCGGACCUGUUGCAGUGAGGGCAGAGGAGGGCCACAAAAAUGAUCAGAAGGCUGGAGCGCCUCCCCUGCGGAGACAGGCUGAGAGAGUUGGCCUUGUUCAGCCUGGAGAAGGCUCGGGAUAGACCUUGCAGCAGCUUCCAGUGGCUAAAGGGGACCUAUAUGCAAGGUGGAGCAGGACUUUUUACAAGGGCAUGUAGGGAUAGGACAACGGGGAAUGGCUUGAAACAAAAAGAGGGUAGGUUUAGAUUAUAUAUUAGGAAGAAAUUAUUUAUUGUGAGGGUGAUGAGGCGCUGGCAUAGGGUGCUCAGUGAAACUGUGGCUGCCCCAUCCCUAGCAGUGUUCAAGGCCAGGUUGGUGGGACUUUGGGCAACCUGAUCUAGUCCUGAAGUUAUCCCUGUCCUUGGCAGGGCAGCUGGAACUAGAUGAUCUUUAAGGUCCCUUCCAACCCAAACCUAUGAUUCCAUGACUUGAAGAUCUGAAGACCCUAUUCAGGGCUUAGUUUAAAGUUAGUGCUAGGAAACAGAUUUUGUUAUAGAAUCCGCAACUCUGCCAAUUCCUUCUGACUGAAGUGCUUGAUAAGAAACAUGGAACAUUAUGGUCAAAAGGAAUUACAAGGACAAAAUUAAAAGCAAAUUAAGAAAAGACAGGAUGGAGUCACAAGAUCUUUUCGCUGCUAAAACUACUGGAAAGCUAAACUACAUCCUGCCACUUAGACAAUAAUUUCAACUUUCUUCUUUUCUCCUUCCCUUUCUUACAAUGUUGUUUGCAUGCAAUUACAUUAUUGGUUCAGCUAGGAUGAAAAGUGAAUCUUCUCUUUCUCCA